AGCUCCAAUAGCGUAUAUUAAAGUUGUUGCAGUUAAAAAGCUCGUAGUUGGAUCUCAGGUCCAGGCUUGCGGUCCGCUCCUUGGUGGUUACUGCUCGUCCUGACCUACCACCCGGUUGCCCCUUGGUGCUCUUGACUGAGUGUCUCGGGAAGCUGGAACGUUUACUUUGAAAAAAUUAGAGUGUUCAAAGCAGGCAAUUCGCCUGAAUAAUGGUGCAUGGAAUAAUGGAAUAGGACCUCGGUUCUAUUUUGUUGGUUUUCGGAAUUGGAGGUAAUGAUUAAGAGGGACGGACGGGGGCAUUCGUAUUACGGUGUUAGAGGUGAAAUUCUUGGAUCGCCGUAAGACGAACUACUGCGAAAGCAUUUGCCAAGAAUGUUUUCA
Molecule: ribosomal RNA, 381 nt
Filed under: marine Metazoa environmental sample
Lineage: Eukaryota; Metazoa
Description: SSU rRNA
Rfam family: Eukaryotic small subunit ribosomal RNA
Source: RNAcentral